Molecule: ribosomal RNA, 795 nt
Filed under: Ochrosphaera sp. RCC2970
Lineage: Eukaryota; Haptophyta; Coccolithales; Hymenomonadaceae
Description: bacterial SSU rRNA
Rfam family: Bacterial small subunit ribosomal RNA
Source: RNAcentral
UACUCCGUGCCAGCAGCCGCGGUAAUACGGGGGAUGCAAGCGUUAUCCGGAAUCAUUGGGCGUAAAGCGCCUGUAGGUUGUCUAAUAAGUCUGUUGUUAAAGACUAGGGCUUAACCCUGGGAAAGCGAUGGAAACUACUAGGCUUGAGUAUGGUAGGGGUAGAGGGAAUUUCUAGUGUAGCGGUGAAAUGCGUAGAUAUUAGAAAGAACACCGGUGGCGAAAGCGCUCUACUGGGCCAUUACUGACACUGAGAGGCGAAAGCUAGGGGAGCAAAAGGGAUUAGAUACCCCUGUAGUCCUAGCCGUAAACGAUGGAUACUAGGUGUUGUAUUAUUAUACAGUAUCGUAGCUAACGCGUUAAGUAUCCCGCCUGGGGAGUACGCUCGCAAGGGUGAAACUCAAAGGAAUUGACGGGGGCCCGCACAAGCGGUGGAGCAUGUGGUUUAAUUCGAUGCAACGCGAAGAACCUUACCAGGGCUUGACAUACUACAAAUCUUUUUGAGACGAAAGAGUGCCUUCGGGAAUGUAGAUACAGGUGGUGCAUGGCUGUCGUCAGCUCGUGUCGUGAGAUGUUGGGUUAAGUCCCGCAACGAGCGCAACCCUCGUUUUUAGUUGCCAAUUUAUUGGGAUUUCUAGAGAGACUGCCGGUGAUAAACCGGAGGAAGGUGAGGAUGACGUCAAGUCAGCAUGCCCCUUAUGCCCUGGGCCACACACGUGCUACAAUGACAAAGACAAAGAGUCGCAAAUUCGCGAGAACUAGCUAAUCUCAUAAACUUUGUCCAAGUUCGGAUUGUAC